Molecule: ribosomal RNA, 447 nt
Filed under: uncultured bacterium
Lineage: Bacteria
Description: partial 16S ribosomal RNA
Rfam family: Bacterial small subunit ribosomal RNA
Source: RNAcentral
AACGAACGCUGGCGGCAGGCUUAACACAUGCAAGUCGAACGCCCCGCAAGGGGAGUGGCAGACGGGUGAGUAACGCGUGGGAAUCUACCCAGUUCUACGGAAUAACUCAGGGAAACUUGUGCUAAUACCGUAUGUGCCCUACGGGGGAAAGAUUUAUCGGAAUUGGAUGAGCCCGCGUAAGAUUAGCUAGUUGGUGGGGUAAUGGCCCACCAAGGCGACGAUCUUUAGCUGGUCUGAGAGGAUGAUCAGCCACACUGGGACUGAGACACGGCCCAGACUCCUACGGGAGGCAGCAGUGGGGAAUAUUGGACAAUGGGCGCAAGCCUGAUCCAGCCAUGCCGCGUGAGUGAUGAAGGCCUUAGGGUUGUAAAGCUCUUUCAGUAGGGAAGAUAAUGACGGUACCUACAGAAGAAGCCCCGGCUAACUUCGUGCCAGCCGCCGCCGUAA